CUACGUAGGUGACAAGCGUCAUCCGGAUUUACUGGGCGUAAAGGGCGUGUAGGCGGUCUUGCAAGUCAGAAGUGAAAUUCCUGAGCUCAACUCGGGCGCUGCUUCUGAAACUGCAGGACUUGAGUGCUGGAGGGGAUAGCGGAAUUCCUAGUGGAGCGGUAAAAUGCGCAGAUAUUAGGAAGAACACCGGUGGCGAAGGCGGCUAUCUGGACAGUAACUGGCGCUGAGGCGCGAAAGCUGGGGGAGCAAACAGGAUUAGAUACCCUGGUAGGCCACGCCGUAAACGAUGAAUACUAGGUGUAGGGGGUAUCGACUCCCUCUGUGCCGCAGUUAACACAAUAAGUAUUCCGCCUGGGGAGUACGGCCGCAAGGUUGAAACUCAAAUGAAUUGACGGG
This 396-nucleotide ribosomal RNA is filed under the name uncultured bacterium. RNAcentral's name for it is "partial 16S ribosomal RNA". It matches the Rfam family "Bacterial small subunit ribosomal RNA", at positions 523 to 917 of the family's 1533-position model. The record is from RNAcentral.